RNAcentral lists this long non-coding RNA (845 nucleotides) under Marmota monax (woodchuck). The record is from RNAcentral. Lineage: Eukaryota; Metazoa; Chordata; Mammalia; Rodentia; Sciuridae.
AUAUCAUCUUAGAUUCGAUUAAAUUCUAUAGUUAAUUUUUUCUACUUGUGUAAAAUGUUCUGUUAUGUGAAUAUACCACAGUUAAUCCAUUUCUGUACCACAGUCAUUUUUCUUAUUGAUGGGUAAUCAGAUUGUUUACAUCAUUAUUAUUACAAACAGUACCAAAGUCAACGUUCUGUCUCAUAAAUUAUUUCUGAAAGGAAGUUUUGAGUUAGUGAAUAUGGGUAUUAGACUGUCUACAUUUUGCCAAAUUGCUUUCCAAUAUGUAUUAUUUUAUGUUCCUGUUAAUAGUAUAAGUGCUUCUGUUGCUUUUCAUUUUUAGACUUACAUCAUUUGAAAUGAAUUCUAUGUAUGUUCUAGGCUAAGGAUCUUUUUUCAGUUUGCCUUAGCACUAAUACUUAAUUGAGUAGUUUAUUCUUUCUAUUUUGAUUACAUAUUUCUCAUUUACCGAGUUUCUAUAUACUGAGGUCUAAAUCUAGGCUCCCUUGUCUGUUCUGUUAGUGAAUGAUAUUACUCCUGUAACUAGUAUAUUUUAAUUACUAUAGACUUAUAGUAAGGCAUCUCUCCUUACUAAUACUCUUCAAAAUUGUCUUGACUAUUCUUGUCUUUUUAUACCUCUGCAUGAAUUUUAAAACCAGGUUGCCAAAUUCUGGGGGGAGAUCGCUAAGGUUUUUACUGGAAUUUCAUUGGAUUUUUAGUGUAUUUGGAGAGGGUUAUCUUUAUAAUAUUGAAUCGUCCUGUUUAUGAAUAUGGUUGGUUGGUUGGUCAGUGUGUUUUUCUUUCUGUACCUACCUGCCUACCCUACCUGUCUUCCUUUUUUUUUUUUUUAAUCAAUAAAGUUUUAC